RNAcentral lists this microRNA (24 nucleotides) under Ananas comosus (pineapple). Its description in RNAcentral is "microRNA s1287_c032b". The record is from RNAcentral. Lineage: Eukaryota; Viridiplantae; Streptophyta; Magnoliopsida; Poales; Bromeliaceae.
CCUAUUGGCUGUUUUUGCAUCAGA